RNAcentral lists this unclassified non-coding RNA (732 nucleotides) under Daphnia pulicaria. RNAcentral's name for it is "uncharacterized LOC124349851, transcript variant X3". The record is from RNAcentral. Lineage: Eukaryota; Metazoa; Arthropoda; Branchiopoda; Diplostraca; Daphniidae.
CUGAGUGCACAAGUGCAAUAUAUCGCACAGGUCUGGCGCCACUUUUCCUCUCGCGCUUCCCUAUUACGCUAGUGUCGUCUGGUGGGGAACGGCGACAACUCUAUUUCUGUCAACACCAUUCUGCAUGCAAAAGGACUAAUGUACUACAUCUUCUAAAUCCCUAAAAACUCAGUGAAGAUGAGACUAAGGUUACAAGAAUUACACCAUUCCCCCCUAAGUCUCAGGAAUACAUAGACAUUUGCAGCAGUGUGUACGUGGAAAGAUUAUUAUACCCCAUGCUUCAAUUGAAUGGAUUACCAGCAUAUUUUCUGAAUAUAUGGAGUGGUAGCAUAGCAUAUACUAAAUUCAAAGAUGCAACACGAAGAAGAAGCUGUGCAUUUGUGGAAUUUUGUGAUUCCGAGUCAGCUGCCAAAGCUGUCACAGAAUAUGCAGCCUCCAGCGAGUAUCAUGUAUUGACUGAAGAUCCAGGGCAGUCAUGUAGUAUUCAGGUGUUUGAUGCAGAGAGCCAAGACGAAAAGAGGGACAAGAAGAAAACGAGCACACAACUAGACACGGAAGAACCCUGGAAGAACCUCUAGACACUGUAGUUCCAUGGUGCGGCAUGCUCAAGAAAAUGCUAAAUGCUACAAUGAGAAAUACAAAUUCGUUAAGACACUUAACAUGCCUGUAGUGUAUCCAUGUAAUACAUAAUAAAAGACAACAAUAAAAGAUAUAAAUUUUAAAUAAUGAGAA